UUCCCGAAUUAAGAAGAGCUAAUUAUUUUAUUGUAAUAAAUAUUUUUAAUAUGUAAUGAAAUGUUAAUAUAUCUGGUUUUCCAAGAAAAUUUAAUUUUUUCAUAUUUUAGGGGAUAAGCUUUAAAUAGGAUUAAAAUUUUUGUUAUAAUUUAUCUAUUGGAAUGUAAUUUUUAAUUAAUUUAGUAAUAAUGUUAAAAUUAGUAUAAGGUAAGAAAAAGGAACUUGACAAAUAUUUUUCACCUGUUUAUUAAAAACAUGUCUUUUUGAUAAUAAUUUAAGGUCUAACCUGCCCACUGAGGCCGCGGUAUUUUGACCGUGCAAAGGUAGCAUAAUCAUUAGUUUUUUAAUUGAGAGCUGGAAUGAAUGGUUGGAUGAGAAAAUAAUUGUCUCUUUUUUAUAGAAUUUUAUUAUUAAGUAAAAAGGCUUAAAUAAAGUUAAAAGACGAGAAGACCCUAUAGAGUUUUAUUUUGAUUGGGGUGAUUGAAAAAUUUAUUUAACUUUUGAUUAUAAGAUUAAAUUACCUUAGGGAUAACAGCGUAAUUUUUCUUAGAGUUCUAAUCGUGAGAAGAGUUUGCGACCUCGAUGUUGGAUUAAGGUUAAUUUAGGUGCAGAAGCU
This 616-nucleotide ribosomal RNA is filed under the name Molorchus minor. RNAcentral describes it as "partial large subunit ribosomal RNA". Lineage: Eukaryota; Metazoa; Arthropoda; Insecta; Coleoptera; Cerambycidae. The record is from RNAcentral.